This 75-nucleotide transfer RNA is filed under the name compost metagenome. RNAcentral's name for it is "tRNA-Arg". It matches the Rfam family "tRNA". Rfam says of the family: Transfer RNA (tRNA) molecules are approximately 80 nucleotides in length. The record is from RNAcentral.
GCUCGGUUGGUGUAAUGGAUGCACAAGGGUCUUCUAAGCCCUCCUGUAUAGGUUCGAAUCCUAUACCGAGUACCA